Molecule: ribosomal RNA, 468 nt
Filed under: uncultured bacterium
Lineage: Bacteria
Description: partial 16S ribosomal RNA
Rfam family: Bacterial small subunit ribosomal RNA
Source: RNAcentral
GACGGACGCUGGCGGCGUGCUUAACACAUGCAAGUCGAACGGAAAGGCCCUGCUUUUGUGGGGUGCUCGAGUGGCGAACGGGUGAGUAACACGUGAGUAACCUGCCCUUGACUUUGGGAUAACUUCAGGAAACUGGGGCUAAUACCGGCUAGGAGCUCCUGCUGCAUGGUGGGGGUUGGAAAGUUUCGGCGGUUGGGGAUGGACUCGCGGCUUAUCAGCUUGUUGGUGGGGUAGUGGCUUACCAAGGCUUUGACGGGUAGCCGGCCUGAGAGGGUGACCGGCCACAAUGGGACUGAGAGACGGCCCAGACUCCUACGGGAGGCAGCAGUGGGGAAUAUUGCACAAUGGGCGGAAGCCUGAUGCAGCAACGCCGCGUGCGGGAUGACGGCCUUCGGGUUGUAAACCGCUUUCGCCUGUGACGAAGCGUGAGUGACGGUAAUGGGUAAAGAAGCACCGGCUAACUACGUG